CCUACGGGGGGCAGCAGUGGGGAAUAUUGGACAAUGGGGGGAACCCUGAUCCAGCCAUGCCGCGUGUGUGAAGAAGGCCCUCGGGUUGUAAAGCACUUUCAGUGAGGAAGAACGCCUGGUGGUUAAUACCCAUCAGGAAAGACAUCACUCACAGAAGAAGCACCGGCUAACUCCGUGCCAGUAGCCGCGGUAAUACGGAGGGUGCGAGCGUUAAUCGGAAUUACUGGGCGUAAAGCGCGCGUAGGUGGCUUGAUAAGCCGGUUGUGAAAGCCCCGGGCUCAACCUGGGAACGGCAUCCGGAACUGUCAAGCUAGAGUGCAGGAGAGGAAGGUAGAAUUCCCGGUGUAGCGGUGAAAUGCGUAGAGAUCGGGAGGAAUACCAGUGGCGAAGGCGGCCUUCUGGACUGACACUGACACUGAGGUGCGAAAGCGUGGGUAGCAAACAGGAUUAGAUACCCGGGUAGUC
Molecule: ribosomal RNA, 465 nt
Filed under: Vreelandella stevensii
Lineage: Bacteria; Pseudomonadati; Pseudomonadota; Gammaproteobacteria; Oceanospirillales; Halomonadaceae
Description: partial 16S ribosomal RNA
Rfam family: Bacterial small subunit ribosomal RNA
Source: RNAcentral